CAGCAGCCGCGGUAACACGUAGGGUGCAAGCGUUAAUCGGAAUUACUGGGCGUAAAGCGUGCGCAGGCGGUUAUAUAAGACAGAUGUGAAAUCCCCGGGCUCAACCUGGGAACUGCAUUUGUGACUGUAUAGCUAGAGUACGGCAGAGGGGGAUGGAAUUCCGCGUGUAGCAGUGAAAUGCGUAGAUAUGCGGAGGAACACCGAUGGCGAAGGCAAUCCCCUGGGCCUGUACUGACGCUCAUGCACGAAAGCGUGGGGAGCAAACAGGAUUAGAUACCCGUGUAGUCCUGUCUCUUAUACA
Molecule: ribosomal RNA, 301 nt
Filed under: uncultured bacterium
Lineage: Bacteria
Description: partial 16S ribosomal RNA
Rfam family: Bacterial small subunit ribosomal RNA
Source: RNAcentral